GACGAGCGCUGGCGGCGUGCUUAACACAUGCAAGUCGAACGGAAAGGCCCUGCUUGCAGGGUACUCGAGUGGCGAACGGGUGAGUAACACGUGGGUGAUCUGCCCUGCACUUCGGGAUAAGCCUGGGAAACUGGGUCUAAUACCGGAUAGGAGCCAUUUUUAGUGUGAUGGUUGGAAAGUUUUUUCGGUGUAGGAUGAGCUCGCGGCCUAUCAGCUUGUUGGUGGGGUAAUGGCCUACCAAGGCGGCGACGGGUAGCCGGCCUGAGAGGGUGGACGGCCACAUUGGGACUGAGAUACGGCCCAGACUCCUACGGGAGGCAGCAGUGGGGAAUAUUGCACAAUGGGCGCAAGCCUGAUGCAGCGACGCCGCGUGGGGGAUGACGGCCUUCGGGUUGUAAACUCCUUUCGCUAGGGACGAAGCUUUUUGUGACGGUACCUAGAUAAGAAGCACCGGCUAACUACGUG
This 465-nucleotide ribosomal RNA is filed under the name uncultured bacterium. RNAcentral's name for it is "partial 16S ribosomal RNA". It matches the Rfam family "Bacterial small subunit ribosomal RNA", at positions 28 to 507 of the family's 1533-position model. The record is from RNAcentral.